GGGGCCGUGGCUCAGUGGCUGAGCAUCUGCUUGGCAUCCCGGAGGUCUGAGGUUCAAUCCCUAGCAGCUCCA
RNAcentral lists this transfer RNA (72 nucleotides) under Sphaerodactylus townsendi. Its description in RNAcentral is "tRNA-Ala". It matches the Rfam family "tRNA". From Rfam's summary of the family: Transfer RNA (tRNA) molecules are approximately 80 nucleotides in length. Their secondary structure includes four short double-helical elements and three loops (D, anti-codon, and T loops). Lineage: Eukaryota; Metazoa; Chordata; Lepidosauria; Squamata; Sphaerodactylidae. The record is from RNAcentral.